UCCGGAAUUAUUGGGCGUAAAGCGCGCGUAGGCGGUUUUUUAAGUCUGAUGUGAAAGCCCACGGCUCAACCGUGGAGGGUCAUUGGAAACUGGAAAACUUGAGUGCAGAAGAGGAAAGUGGAAUUCCAUGUGUAGCGGUGAAAUGCGCAGAGAUAUGGAGGAACACCAGUGGCGAAGGCGACUUUCUGGUCUGUAACUGACGCUGAUGUGCGAAAGCGUGGGGAUCAAACAGGAUUAGAUACCCUGGUAGUCCACGCCGUAAACGAUGAGUGCUAAGUGUUAGGGGGUUUCCGCCCCUUAGUGCUGCAGCUAACGCAUUAAGCACUCCGCCUGGGGAGUACGACCGCAAGGUUGAAACUCAAAGGAA
Molecule: ribosomal RNA, 367 nt
Filed under: Staphylococcus warneri
Lineage: Bacteria; Bacillati; Bacillota; Bacilli; Caryophanales; Staphylococcaceae
Description: bacterial SSU rRNA
Rfam family: Bacterial small subunit ribosomal RNA
Source: RNAcentral